RNAcentral lists this ribosomal RNA (346 nucleotides) under uncultured soil bacterium. RNAcentral describes it as "bacterial SSU rRNA". It matches the Rfam family "Bacterial small subunit ribosomal RNA", at positions 26 to 371 of the family's 1533-position model. The record is from RNAcentral.
AGAUUGAACGCUGGCGGCAGGCCUAACACAUGCAAGUCGAGCGGCAGCACGGGUACUUGUACCUGGUGGCGAGCGGCGGACGGGUGAGUAAUGCCUAGGAAUCUGCCUGGUAGUGGGGGAUAACGCUCGGAAACGGACGCUAAUACCGCAUACGUCCUACGGGAGAAAGCAGGGGACCUUCGGGCCUUGCGCUAUCAGAUGAGCCUAGGUCGGAUUAGCCAGUUGGUGAGGUAAUGGCUCACCAAGGCGACGAUCCGUAACUGGUCUGGAGAGGAUGGAUCAGUCACACUGGAACUGAGACACGGUCCAGACUCCUACGGGAGCAGCAGUGGGGAAUAUUGGACAA